GACGAACGCUGGCGGCGUGCCUAAUACAUGCAAGUCGAACGCUUCUUUCCUCCCGAGUGCUUGCACUCAAUUGGAAAGAGGAGUGGCGGACGGGUGAGUAACACGUGGGUAACCUACCCAUCAGCGGGGGAUAACACUUGGAAACAGGUGCUAAUACCGCAUAACAGUUUAUGCCGCAUGGCAUAAGAGUGAAAGGCGCUUUCGGGUGUCGCUGAUGGAUGGACCCGCGGUGCAUUAGCUAGUUGGUGAGGUAACGGCUCACCAAGGCCACGAUGCAUAGCCGACCUGAGAGGGUGAUCGGCCACACUGGGACUGAGACACGGCCCAGACUCCUACGGGAGGCAGCAGUAGGGAAUCUUCGGCAAUGGACGAAAGUCUGACCGAGCAACGCCGCGUGAGUGAAGAAGGUUUUCGGAUCGUAAAACUCUGUUGUUAGGGAAGAACAAGGACGUUAGUAACUGAACGUCCCCUGACGGUAUCUAACCAGAAAGCCACGGCUAACUACGUG
Molecule: ribosomal RNA, 508 nt
Filed under: uncultured bacterium
Lineage: Bacteria
Description: partial 16S ribosomal RNA
Rfam family: Bacterial small subunit ribosomal RNA
Source: RNAcentral